This 252-nucleotide ribosomal RNA is filed under the name uncultured bacterium. Its description in RNAcentral is "partial 16S ribosomal RNA". It matches the Rfam family "Bacterial small subunit ribosomal RNA", at positions 524 to 776 of the family's 1533-position model. The record is from RNAcentral.
UACGUAGGGUGCAAGCGUUGUCCGGAUUUAUUGGGUUUAAAGGGUGCGUAGGCGGCUAAUUAAGUCAGCGGUGAAAUUCCACAGCUCAACUGUGGAACUGCCAUUGAUACUGGUUGGCUUGAGUACAGAUGAGGUAGGCGGAAUUGACAGUGUAGCGGUGAAAUGGCUUAGAUAUUGUCAAGAACACCUAUUGCGAAGGCAGCUUACUAGCUGUACUGACGCUGAGGCACGAAAGCGUGGGGAUCAAACAGG